Molecule: unclassified non-coding RNA, 153 nt
Filed under: uncultured fungus
Lineage: Eukaryota; Fungi
Description: sequence contains ITS2
Source: RNAcentral
GUACCCUCAAGCUCUGCUUGGUGUUGGGUGUUUGUCCUCUCCUCUGCGAUUGGACUCGCCUUAAAGCAAUUGGCAGCCAGUGUUUUGGUAUUGAAGCGCAGCACAUUUUGCGAUUCUAGCCUAAACACUUGCGUCCACAAGCCUUUUUAUAAC